This 465-nucleotide ribosomal RNA is filed under the name Vreelandella stevensii. RNAcentral's name for it is "partial 16S ribosomal RNA". It matches the Rfam family "Bacterial small subunit ribosomal RNA", at positions 338 to 795 of the family's 1533-position model. Lineage: Bacteria; Pseudomonadati; Pseudomonadota; Gammaproteobacteria; Oceanospirillales; Halomonadaceae. The record is from RNAcentral.
CCUACGCGAUGCAGCAGUGGGGAAUAUUGGACAAUGGGCGAAAGCCUGAUCCAGCCAUGCCGCGUGUGUGAAGAAGGCCUUCGGGUUGUAAAGCACUUUCAGUGGGGAAGAAAGCCUUGGGGCUAAUACCCUCGAGGAAGGACAUCACCCACAGAAGAAGCACCGGCUAACUCCGUGCCAGCAGCCGCGGUAAUACGGAGGGUGCGAGCGUUAAUCGGAAUUACUGGGCGUAAAGCGCGCGUAGGCGGUCUGAUAAGCCGGUUGUGAAAGCCCCGGGCUCAACCUGGGAACGGCAUCCGGAACUGUCAGGCUAGAGUGCAGGAGAGGAAGGUAGAAUUCCCGGUGUAGCGGUGAAAUGCGUAGAGAUCGGGAGGAAUACCAGUGGCGAAGGCGGCCUUCUGGACUGACACUGACGCUGAGGUGCGAAAGCGUGGGUAGCAAACAGGAUUAGAUACCCUUGUAGUC